CCAAGAACAGCAGGCCUUGGUCUGGAAGCUGACAUACUUGCUAAGCACUCCUUAGAAGACCUGACUCUGGGAAGGAAGCCACCAGGACAGGCUGAGCUCGGAGCGGGAGGGCCCUCACAUCUGGGUUUGGCUGCCUCCUCUUCUGCUGGAAAAACUCAAAGCCAUCCAUCUAGGGACUCCCAGGAACAUGUCCCCAGCUCCCAGCUCCCCGGUGAAGCUCAGGCUGCUGUGUUUGGUAAUUCAGGAAAAGAUAAUCGCUAAGGAAGUAGGUGGAGUUUCGGUAGGAGGACGAGACGAAAACGGCAUGGCCCGGGCAUCAAGAUUUGCCAGGCAGCCUUCUGCCAGCCGUGGGCAUGUCCUUCCCCCAGCUGCCAAUCUGCUGGUCAGAUUAGGGGCACACGCGUAUGGUGGCAGAGGCAGGGAAGAAUGAACCGCAUCAUUUCUGACAUGUGAGCACCAGAGCUGUGAGCAUAUGGCCUGGAAGCCUCUCCAGGAAUUUCACGGGACAUUUCAUGCAAGUUGAGACCGACGCAUUCAGGAACCUGGAUCCAGAGAGAGAAAAAGAGAAAUUGCAGAAAAUAUUUCCCUUUGAAAUAUUCUCAUCAAAUGUGACGGAGAAGAGUUAAUAUCUGUAAAGAGCUCACUGGAAUCAUUAAGAAAAAGGUGAAAACUUCAAAAGAAAACUGGAAAAUAACAUGAACUUAUGAUUCAUAAAAGAAGCACAAAUAACCAGUAUACUUAAAGUGAAAUUUAUCCUUGCUGUUAAUAAACAAAUGCAAAUUAAAAUAUGACCUUUUUUUACUUACAUUUUAAAAGAAUAACAUUUAAUGUUGAUGUGAAUGCAGUGAAAGGAACAUCCUUUGUAUAUUGCUGGUGAGCAGGAAAAUGGGUACAUACCAGCUGGAAGUCAAUCUGGCAAUACAUACUAAUAGUUAUAAAAAUAGCCAUAAUCUUUAACUCAGUAAUCCCACUUCCAUGAAUAUGCACAAAAUAAACUAAGAUCAUCACUUACCUCUGACAAAACAUCUACCUCUGUGAAUAUAAUUCAUGCUGCUGAUAGCUUUUCCUGACAGUUCCACAGGUCAUUUCUUGUAUACUAGACUGAAACUUAAAUGCCUCCUUUUUUCCUCCACAAAUGAUGCUGGGAAUUCAUAUGUGUAUAGCUCCCCUCCUAUUCAAGUAUAGGUUUGGGGGAUCCUCAAGCAGAACCUUGUAUUUAUUUUUGGUUGAGUCAGCCCAUCAUGUGAUCAUUUGAAUCCUACACUUGUCAUUCCAAACAGCCUCAGCUUUGCCCAGCUUCGCGUCAACUUCGAAUGACCUUUGUCAGCCUGCCACGUGCACCAUCACCCACCUUCCUAGGGGGUGGUGUAGUGACACAGCUGAGGACGGGCCCAGUAGCAGGCCACUAGACACCUCCUUCCCUAUUGACUCCUAUCCACUAAACAGCUAAUGGAAUUGUUCCGCCAAUCACAAAUCUACCUUAUUUAACUAGGAUUUAGACACAUUCCUCUGUUUUGUCCACCUGGUAACCACGAAAAGUAACAUCAGGCCAGGCGCUGUGGCUCACACCUGUAAUCCCAGCACUCUGGGAGGCCAAGGUGGGCGGAUCACCUGAGGUCAGGAGUUUGAGACCAGCCUGGCCAACAUGAUGAAACCCCGUCUCUACUAAAAACACAAAAAUUAGCCAGGUGUGGUGGCGGGUGCCUGUAAUCCCAGCUACUUGUUAGGCUGAGGCGGAAGAAUCACUUGAGCCUGGGAGGCGGAGGUUGCGGUGAGCUGAGACCAUGCCACUGUACUCCAGCCUGGGCAACAAGAGCGAGACUCCAUCUUAAAAAAAAGAAAGGAAAAAAGGAAGGAAGAAAGAAAAGAAGGAAGGAAGGAAGGAAGGAGAAGAAAGGAAGGAAGGAAGGAAAGAAAGAGAAAAG
Long non-coding RNA from Macaca mulatta (Rhesus monkey), 1925 nucleotides. NCBI's taxonomy places the organism in Eukaryota, Metazoa, Chordata, Mammalia, Primates, Cercopithecidae. The record is from Ensembl.